Long non-coding RNA from Oncorhynchus tshawytscha (Chinook salmon), 4902 nucleotides. RefSeq lists it as uncharacterized. The transcript has 10 exons. The record is from RefSeq and is a predicted model, not a curated record. NCBI's taxonomy places the organism in Eukaryota, Metazoa, Chordata, Actinopteri, Salmoniformes, Salmonidae.
AAAUAAAACCGUUUGAGUGUCGAAUUUGUUCAACGAAAAUGUAAAGUCUUAUUUUCUACCUGAGGUUUAUUUGAUCGAAUUGAAGUUUCGUAAUGCUUAAAUUGUUACGCGUAUGCUGAUAUAAAUUGGACACGUGACAUCCCAGCAACUUUGAGAAAAAAAACCCACUUUAUAUUGGAGUUGUCUCGAGAUGGUUUAACGUCGUAUUAAUGUAAUGUUAAAUCUCUCGUCAUUGAAUAUGGGCGGUUGAAGUUAACCACCCUCAUAAAAUAUUAAAAACAAAUAACAAUAAAUAGAUGUAUCUACCAAUCCAAAGAAUAGGCGGGAACUAGACAGCCAGCCGUGCCACUUUGUGAACAACGACUCCCAUUGUUAGGGCGGAGAGACGUAGUCUUGUCAGUUUUCCAUAAUCUUUGGUUUGGUGAAAACAUCUCUGGUGGGAAAAUGUUAUUAUAUUGUUUUAGGCAGAUGAGGUUAUUCGCAUGAAAAUCUGCCCCAAAUUGGUUGGAAACCUAGCUAUAGACGUGAAACUAGUUAGGGAAUUAAGAAAAUGUAAUGGUAGCUAAGUUAUUCAUAUGAAGAUAAUGAAAUGGUGAUUUCUGUUCGGCUAGUUGAAGAAGUCAGUAAUCUGAUUGACAGCCAGUAGUACGAGCUAGUGAGUAACGUUAGUGUUCUCGGGUUGUUAGCUAGGCAACUGUUUGUGGCAAUGACUUCUAGAGGUAGAGGAACCCAAAAAUCAAACAUAUCUGGUACAAAAGGAACUCCACGCAUUGCUAUAUCCAGUUAUAAAAUCGGAUACACCUGGAACCAAGGUGGAAGACAAGGCCCCGAGAAUAAGGCAACUUGCAUGGAGUUCCUCAAACUAUGGAUACAGAAGACUUUUGGAUGGGUUCAUCCUUACAAUGCAAGUUGGGUGUGGACUAUGUGGCAGACUAGGAUGUGGAGGAGGUAUGAUGAAUGUGAUAUAGAGGACCAAGCACUGGGCUCUGACUCUACAGAGUAAGGCACUACGUUCAUGCCUGUAUAAGCUUUGUUCACCUCCGCCAAGCUAAGAGGAAACCACAAGCUGUUGCUGUGCGAGCCUGGCAACUCCGCUUGGUCCUGAGGUAUUGGUAUGUGUGGAGAAGUGGACUACAGAGAGAGGUGGACAGAGAGCAGAGUGUUGACCAUGUGGCACAAUGCAGCAUACAGCAUAGCGCUGGGGACACUAUCCUACCCCACACACACUGACAGAUGUGAAGUCACACACUAUUGCAAGAACAACAUUAGCAAUACUCACCUUAUGGUUAACUUCAUGUGCCCUCAUCUACCUCAACAUCAUACUUCGGAACAUAUUGCAAGAAGAUUAAGUGAAUUUCCUGAGUUUAUGUGCAGAUGUGGACUUGUGCAUGCAGGAGUCAGAGAUCAGUCAGCAGCAAGUCAACACCGCCAUCUAUUGCACGCUGGUCUGAGAAGUCUGGCCCUUAAUAUCGCUCAGAUACUCAUCGACUCAACAAGAACAUCGCUGUCCAGCAUCAUCAUCACACUGCAGGCAUUGGAUACUCUGGCAGCAACGUCUGGAGGAGGCUGAAGAUUGGGUACUUCAGAUGCAGAUGACACACAUCCACUACAGGUUGGCAGGCUCCUUUUGGCAAAUUUCAGCGACGCACGCUGUCUAUACACAUGUUUUUUUUAAACUUCCCAGACAACUAGUGUGUUGCGUGUUAGAAGAGUAAUUCUGAAAGUAGUUUCUCUGGCCUGACGUCACUACAGAGCUACUGCUUGAAUCACUGGAGAGAGCAGCUUGUUGAGCACUGACAAAUGCAGGUACACACACACCGACGUGUAACUGUCAAAAUAAAGGAAACGCCAAAAUAAAGCGUCUCAAUAGGGCAUUGGCUCCACCACGAGCCAGAACAGCUUCAAUGCACCAGUUGGUGUUGAUUCUGCAAGUGUCUGGAACUCUAUUGGAGGGAUACAUCAACACUCUUCCACGCAAAAUUCUAUAAUUUCGUACUUUGUUGAUGAUGUCUCAAGCCCCACUCUGAAUCUCUCAUAAGUGUUCAGUUGGGUUGUGAUCUGGUGACUGAGAUGUCCAUGGCAUACGGUUUACAUCAUUUCCAUGGUCGUCAAAGCAUUCAGUGACCACUUGUGCCCUAUGAAUGGGGUCAUUGUCAUGCUAUGGAGGCAUAGCCAUGGUAGCUCAAAUAAUGGCAUGCCAAGCGUUUUUGUACGUGACCCUAAGCAUGAUGGGAUGUUAAUUGCUGAAUCAACUUAACCACACCUGUGUAGAAGCACCUGCUUUCAAUACACUUUGUUAAUCAAGUGGUUCUGUUAUUUUUGGCAGUUACCUGUACAUUACUGUGUGUGGUUGUAGGGUCUGGAGCGUCGUGCUCAGGCCUGGUUUGCGAACCACAUCUUUCCACAGUGUCUGAACUCCUGGGUUGAGUUUACCUGCCAGAGGAAACAGCACAGGGAGAGGCGAGACGACACAAUCCCAUAAUCACAUCCUGUUUCUGAACUAGUGCUGAUCUAGGAUCAGGUCCACCCAGUCCAUGUGAUCUUAUUAAUUAUGAUCUGAAAGGUAAAACUGAUCCUAGCACUACUACUAUUAUACUAUAUUAUAUAUAUAUUUUUCUAAAGGGCCCUUGGCUACGUUUAUGAACUACAUAUAGCUAGCCUUGUGGUGGUGAUGAUGACGUUUGUCUUAAUGUGUGAAACACUCUAACCGUCUGUGGGCAGCGUCAGUACACCUGGGCCUUUUACACCUGGUGGGGACAUUCAGAGGAGAGAAAGGAUCAGAGGCUGGCUGAGAGGAUGGUAAAACACAGCUGUCCCGACACACACACACACACCAUCAUGGUACAGCCAUACACCCAGACAGAGCCCAGCUGUCCUGCCCUUUGGGCCUUGGUGCAUGAAGAGAGGUUGUGUUUAAGUAGAGCCUGGCACCACUGGCAGUGGAGGGCGGGGUAGGAGAAGGAGAAACGGAGAGCCUCUGUCAUACUGGACCACCAUACUGUAGUCCACAACACACUGAGCCAGUGGAAGGACAACGUCACCAUGAUCCGGGACAGGUACUGUACGACUGACUGUAAAAUAUCAGUGAGGAUCAGGAUGAUAUUUUUCUUGAUGUUAUAAUGCACGUUAAUGACCUGCUACUUAUGCUGACUGUUGGGGACCAACUGGUUCAGAAAGACGUAGACUGGUGUGUGUACUUAACAGGAUUUGAUUAGACCCUUUUGAGGUUUUGGUUAAUCCUUCAAGUGUGUUUAUCUCUUAAGGCGAAACCGAGAGGCGCAGGCAGGUCGACAUGGGGAUGUGUCUUGUGUGCGACGCGCCCUGAGUGGCUGGAGUGAGGUACAGCAUCUUACCAUAUACAGUAUAGUUUACCAUUAGCCUUGCUCUGUUUGGUUUCUCCAGAGUAAUCCUAUAUUCUUUGAUGUCAGUGUGUCCAGCACAGAGGAGAGAAGAACAGCAGGCUGGAUCAGUUUGUCUUCAUGGCAUGAGUCAGACUUCUCAAACACACCUUACAGGCCUGGAAGGCACAACAGAGCUCACAUCCUAUACAUCACGGAUGGGCAAAUAUUUUUGCUUUCUUUCAGAAUUCCGGGUCUGAACUUUUGACAGUUGGAAUAGUAGAAUAUGUACACAAGGUGCAGCUUCGAAAUUUGGUUGUGCAUCAUCACUUUAUCUUCUGUCACUGACAGUCACUCAAUUAGCCCAUGUCAACUAAAAUGUAUUAGAUUGAUAAGUUAGUCUAGCGGCGUGCUGUCUAAACAUGUAUUUAUCAUGGUAGAACUACCAACCAGGGGGGCCCCCAUUGAUUUUGGGAGUCACUCACUCAGAUAUCAUAUUAAAAACUGCUAACAUUUCUCUCUGCCCCAUGUCAAAAUCUGUAGCAUUGCAGGAAAUUAACUUUAAAACUUAAACAACAACAAAAAAUUGCUCCGCUAUCAAUACAGGGGGCCCCGCCAAAAGGCUAGGACUGGCUCUGACUGCAUGUGUGGGUAUGGAUGUGCGUAUGCACCCCUCAAAGUUGCCCAUCCCUAUUUAUACGUUAACUGUUCUGAAUGUUGUUAGUUAACACUUCUAUUGUUCAUUCAUUUGGUCAUCAUGUGUUGUCUGACCUGACUGAUGCUCCUUGCAGAAUAGGCUCCACCCUGCCUUGUUUGUUUGUGUCCCUGUGGUGGCAUCACCUCCAGACAGAGCAGGUCGAUGAGCUUGUCGAGGAGCGCUACAGCCUGCAUCAGCAUGACUUCCUCCAGCAUCAACCCAAAUGGAUCCACCGUCUCAAUCUCUUUAUCCACCGUCUCUUACUUGGAAUGUUGAUUUUGGUCAUCUUUCUGACUGACACUUGUAUUACUUUCUUCCCAGGAGGGUUCUGCGUGUGUGGAAGGAGACUGCAGCAGCCAGGAGCAGUGAGAAGAGGGCAGGGAACCACUACCGGCACUGUUCAGGCUAAGGUGCUGUUGGCAUGGAGGAAAGCCACAUCCUGUGUCAAACCGUCACCGUCACCGGCAGUGAGCAGGGCUCCGAGUCGCAUGGAUAAAGUGAGGCAGCGGUGGACUUUCAGGAGAUGGCGGGAGCGAAGCAGAGCAGUUGUGGAGGAGAGUACAGGUGUGGAGAAAACCAAAAGGCACCACCACCACUCUUCUUUGCAGUAUGUUCAGAUUGGGGACUAUGUACUGGCAGCAUCAGCAGAGCUAUAAGGUGAUGCAAGAAACGGGACACUCAAUGUUGAGACGGGCCGCCCCCAGGUGGUAAGGGGAGGUAACAACACAGCCGCCAUGCUUAUCCUCAACACGGGGGCCACUCCUGUACCCCCUGUUCACUCAUGACUGCACGGCCAGGCACAACUCCAACACCAUCAUUAAGUUUGCCGAUGACACAACAGUGGUAGGCCUGAUCACUGACAAGGAU